Molecule: non-coding RNA, 243 nt
Organism: Vicia faba (fava bean)
Lineage: Eukaryota; Viridiplantae; Streptophyta; Magnoliopsida; Fabales; Fabaceae
Source: the annotation of a GenBank genome assembly
AUGGUUCAAGACCUCAUCCCUAAGCUAGUGGAUGAUCAAACUAACUACAUGCUCAUUAUGACGCCUUCUGUUGAAGAGAUUCAUAAGACAAAUAUGAAGCUUAAUGCUGACUCUCCCCCUGGAUCUGAUGGUUUUGGUUCUUUCUUCUACCAAAAGUAUCGAGAUAUUAUCAAGCUGGAUGUAAUUAAUGAUUUUUGUCUAUUCUUUUUGCAUGGCUGGAUUCCUCCUAACUAUAUGAAGUGA